GUUAUUUCGUAAUGAUGAUUUGCCUAUUCUUUAUAUGGUUUUAACAUUACGUGAUGAUGUUAUAAAAUUUGACGAUUCUACACUACUUGAUGUGUUUAAUUCAUUAUUUGAAAAGAUGUUUUCAAUGAACAUAAUAAAAGAGGAACGAAAGAUACAAGAGGGACAGUCAAACUCAUAAAUCGAAAAUAAACUGACAACACCAUGGCUAAAAAUAAAAAGUUCAAACAGACAAACAAUAGUACACAUGAUACAACAUAGAAAACUAAAGAAUAAACAACACGAACCGCAUUUAUAAUUAUACCUUCACAUUUCACACAAUUAGUUGUUAGCCCAUUCGAACAAAAAGAACUGCAUUGUUAGCUGUUCAUUAUUUUGAACAAAAGCCUAAUGAAAAAAUUAUAAAGUAUGCAC
RNAcentral lists this long non-coding RNA (411 nucleotides) under Mytilus galloprovincialis (Mediterranean mussel). The record is from RNAcentral. Lineage: Eukaryota; Metazoa; Mollusca; Bivalvia; Mytilida; Mytilidae.